GACGAACGCUGGCGGCGUGCUUAACACAUGCAAGUCGAACGGAAAGGCCCUGCUUUUGUGGGGUGCUCGAGUGGCGAACGGGUGAGUAACACGUGAGUAACCUGCCCUUGACUUUGGGAUAACUUCAGGAAACUGGGGCUAAUACCGGAUAGGAGCUCCUGCUGCAUGGUGGGGGUUGGAAAGUUUCGGCGGCUGGGGAUGGACUCGCGGCUUAUCAGCUUGUUGGUGGGGUAGUGGCUUACCAAGGCUUUGACGGGUAGCCGGCCUGAGAGGGGGGCCGGCGACAUUGGGACUGAGAUACGGCCCAGACUCCUACGGGAGGCAGCAGUGGGAAAUAUUGCACAAUGGGCGGAAGCCUGAUGCAGCAACCCCGCGUGCGGGAUGACGGCCUUCGGGUUGUAAACCGCAUUCGCCUGUGACGAAGCGUGAGUGACGGUAAUGGGUAAAGAAGCACCGGCUAACUACGUG
This 468-nucleotide ribosomal RNA is filed under the name uncultured bacterium. Its description in RNAcentral is "partial 16S ribosomal RNA". It matches the Rfam family "Bacterial small subunit ribosomal RNA", at positions 28 to 507 of the family's 1533-position model. The record is from RNAcentral.